This 408-nucleotide ribosomal RNA is filed under the name uncultured bacterium. Its description in RNAcentral is "partial 16S ribosomal RNA". It matches the Rfam family "Bacterial small subunit ribosomal RNA", at positions 28 to 526 of the family's 1533-position model. The record is from RNAcentral.
GACGAACGCUGGCGGCGUGCUUAACACAUGCAAGUCGAACGAAGUGGCGAACGGGUGAGUAACGCGUAAUCAACCUGCCCUUCAGCGGGGGACCACAGUUGGAAACGACUGCUAAUACCGCAUACUGAAGGCGGUGAUUGCGUCUGAUUAGCAAGUUGGAGGGGUAACGGCCCACCAAGGCGAUGAUCAGUAGCCGGUCUGAGAGGAUGACCAGCCACACUGGAACUGAGACACGGUCCAGACUCCUACGGGAGGCAGCAGUGGGGAAUAUUGCACAAUGGGCGCAAGCCUGACGGAGCAACGCCGCGUGAGUGAUGACGGCCUUCGGGUUGUAAAGCUCUGUUAAUCGGGACGCGGUACCGGAAUAGAAAGCCACGGCUAACUACGUGCCAGCAGCCGCGGUAAUUC